CUCAAUGCUCAGUCAAAUUGUCACGUUGUCAAUAAAAUUACACUGAAUUACACUGCCAUGAAUGAAGAAUCUAACUUAUGUGCGAAUACAUGGAGUCGCAUUAUCGAGCCUAUAAAUAAGGUUGGGUACCUAGAUGGGGCUGCCGAUGGUCAAUCUGCAGCUUUUCAAUGUAGUUUCGAUAUUGGUUACAGUCAAGGAUUCAUGUUUGGAUUACAGCUUGGUCUUAGCGGAAAUAGUUCAAAGAACAUAAAUGAAACAUUCAAAGAUCCAAGGAAAAUUAAUUGUCAGCUAUGUAUCAAUGGAACCUCAACACAGGAAAAAAUUGAUAAUUUGUUUAAUAUACAAGAAGAAGACAAUAUGAAGUAUUUCAAAACGAUGUAAAAAAGAUAUUUUUGAUCUAAAAUAAAAAUGAGCUUUAUUUUUUAUUAAUAAGUUAAAAUGUAUAAAUAAAUUAUUUUACAUUC
Long non-coding RNA from Ostrinia nubilalis (European corn borer), 464 nucleotides. RefSeq lists it as uncharacterized. The record is from RefSeq and is a predicted model, not a curated record. NCBI's taxonomy places the organism in Eukaryota, Metazoa, Arthropoda, Insecta, Lepidoptera, Crambidae. The transcript has 3 exons.